CCUACGGGAGGCAGCAGUGAGGAAUAUUGGACAAUGGGCGCAAGCCUGAUCCAGCCAUGCCGCGUGCAGGAAGAAGCAUCUAUGGUGUGUAAACUGCUUUUGUACAGGAAGAAACACUCCCUCGUGAGGGAGCUUGACGGUACUGUAAGAAUAAGGACCGGCUAACUCCGUGCCAGCAGCCGCGGUAAUACGGAGGGUCCGAGCGUUAUCCGGAAUCAUUGGGUUUAAAGGGUCCGUAGGCGGUUUAAUAAGUCAGUGGUGAAAUCUGGUCGCUCAACGAUCAAACGGCCAUUGAUACUGUUAGACUUGAAUUAUAAGGAAGUAACUAGAAUAUGUAGUGUAGCGGUGAAAUGCUUAGAUAUUACAUGGAAUACCAAUUGCGAAGGCAGGUUACUACUUAUGGAUUGACGCUGAUGGACGAAAGCGUGGGGAGCGAACAGGAUUAGAUACCCUGGUAGUCCACGCCGUAAACGAUGGAUACUAGCUGUUCGGAGCAAUCUGAGUGGCUAAGCGAAAGUGAUAAGUAUCCCACCUGGGGAGUACGUUCGCAAGAAUGAAACUCAAAGGAUUGACCGGNUGAGACNGCGAGACGACGACGAGGGAGGAGG
This 608-nucleotide ribosomal RNA is filed under the name uncultured bacterium. Its description in RNAcentral is "bacterial SSU rRNA". It matches the Rfam family "Bacterial small subunit ribosomal RNA", at positions 338 to 944 of the family's 1533-position model. The record is from RNAcentral.